AUUCCAUACCACCCUGAACACACCCAGUCUCAUCUGAUCUUGGAAGCUAAGUGGGCUCAGGCCUGAUUAGAAUA
RNAcentral lists this ribosomal RNA (74 nucleotides) under Prolemur simus (greater bamboo lemur). The record is from RNAcentral. Lineage: Eukaryota; Metazoa; Chordata; Mammalia; Primates; Lemuridae.